UAAGCGGAGGAAAAGAAACCAACAGGGAUUGCCUCAGUAGCGGCGAGUGAAGCGGCAAAAGCUCAAAUUUGAAAUCUGGCGUCUUUGGCGUCCGAGUUGUAAUUUGAAGAAGGUAUCUUUGGGCCCGGCUCUUGUCUAUGUUCCUUGGAACAGGACGUCACAGAGGGUGAGAAUCCCGUGCGAUGAGAUGACCCGGGUCUGUGUAAAGUUCCUUCGACGAGUCGAGUUGUUUGGGAAUGCAGCUCUAAGUGGGUGGUAAAUUCCAUCUAAAGCUAAAUAUUGGCGAGAGACCGAUAGCGAACAAGUACAGUGAUGGAAAGAUGAAAAGAACUUUGAAAAGAGAGUGAAAAAGUACGUGAAAUUGUUGAAAGGGAAGGGCUUGAGAUCAGACUUGGUAUUUUGCAUGCUGCUCUCUCGGGGGCGGCCGCUGCGGUUUACCGGGCCAGCAUCGGUUUGGAGCGGCAGGAUAAUGGCGGAGGAAUGUGGCACGGCUUCUGCUGUGUGUUAUAGCCUCUGACGAUGCUGCCAGCCUAGACCGAGGACUGCGGUUUUUAACCUAGGAUGUUGGCAUAAUGAUCUUAAGUCGCCCGUCUUG
Molecule: ribosomal RNA, 595 nt
Filed under: Candida albicans
Lineage: Eukaryota; Fungi; Ascomycota; Pichiomycetes; Serinales; Debaryomycetaceae
Description: eukaryotic LSU rRNA
Rfam family: Eukaryotic large subunit ribosomal RNA
Source: RNAcentral